UAUUCUCAAAUACCCCUUUAAUCUCAAAUACCCCUAUUCUCAAAUACCCCUAUUCUCAAAUAUCCCUUUAAUCUCAAAUACCUCUAAUCUCAAAUACCUUUAAUCUCAAAUACCUCUAAUCUCAAAUACCCCUAUUUUCAAAUACCCCUAAUCUCAAAUACCCAUAUUCUCAAAUACCCCUAUUCUCAAAUACCCCUAUUCUCAAAUACUCUUUAAUCUCAAAUACUCAUAUUCUCAAAUACCCAUUUAAUCUUAAAUACCCCUUUAAUCUCAAAUGCCCCUAUUCCCUUUAAUCUCAAAUACUCUAAUUCCCAAAUACCCCCUAUCCUCAAAUACCCCUCUAAUCUCAAAUACCCCUUAUUCUAAUCUCAAAUACCCUCUAUUCUCAAAUACUGUUUUUAAUCUCAAAUACCCCUUAUCUCAAAUACCCUUUAAUCCAAAAAUACCCCAUUAAUCUUAAAUACCCCCUUAAUCCCAUAUACCCCUUAAUCCAAUAUAUAUAUCCCUAAUCUCAAAUACCCUUUAAUCUCAAAUAUCUUUUAAUCCCAAAUACCACUAAUCUCAAAACCCCUUAAUCUCAAAUACACAUUAUUCUCAAAUACCCUCUAAUCUCUAAUACCCUUUAUCUCAAAUAUCCUUAAUCCCAAAUACCCAUAUUUUCAUAUACCACUUAAUCUUAAAUACCACUAAAUCAUAUCCAUAUUUUCAUAUACCACUUAAUCUUAAAUACCACUUAAUCAUAUCCAUAUUUUCAUAUACCACUUAAUCACAAAUACCCCUUAAUCCUAUAACACAUGGAUUUAAGGGUAUAAUAUGGGACUAAUUAUGGGACUUAUUAAACUAAAAAACGAACUUUGGGGUUUUUUAACGUAGUUUAAAACUCGUCUUGUUUUAAAAUUUUAUAUUUCUCGGAUACGAAAGUUUAUGCAGCUUCUUAAAAGGCCUUAAGAUUUUAAAAAGAUAAGAUUUAAAAAGGCUCGAAGGUUUUUCUAGUGACAACCUAAGUAAGAACAAUACUCGUAGUAUUGUUCCCUAAGUAAUAUAUAUGUAUAAUAUUUCAAAUUAUACCAACCUGGAUAUGGAGUUAGCCGUACGAGUCUGAUACUAGCCGUUGAAUCGUUGAACUUUCUCGUUUCAAGCCCAAAGUAAAUAGCGCCUAAUAGUUUCCCUCAACUCCGUCACAAACUGUCUUGAUUCAUUUCUCUCAUAUUUCGCGAUAAUUCCUCGGCAACUGAUCAUCUCGACUGCAAUUUACAAACAAAACCCCAAAACAUUAAAGUAAAUCGCAAAGCAAAAAACGAUGAACACGAGUGUAACGACCGUAACCCUGGGUUUAUAAUUAAAUAUAGGGUUUUUGAUUAGAAUGGUUACUUAUAUCACAAGAAAAGAGGAAUAAGGCACCUUAUCAUAUUGAUCACGUGCUCCAUAUCACCAACCCACACGAAACGUCAACAGCGUAGCAUCGAUGGCUCUCCGACAACAUGGAUCAACUACGGUGAAAAAGGGAUCACGGCGGCGUAGAUCGGUAACCGGUGGUGGUUGGUGGUGGCGAACGUCGCAAAGUUAAACGCUUUCCAAUCUAAAGAAGAUUGAAGAUCACUACAAAAAGUAAAUAAUGAACGGUUAAGGAAUCUUAAACCAUACUAAAACAAAACAGCAAAGAGGAUGAAGAAAGCAAACCGAUCGUUCAAUUUCACGCAAACCAUGAACAGGACAAGAACAGAAGAAAAACAAAUAUACGAUUUAGAGAUUUACAAUUUCUUUUCGGGGAGGAGCCGCGCCGGAAGGAGACUCGCCACGAAGAACCACCAUCCCUAAGAUUGCUCCGCGCGCCGUCGCGGAAUCCGUCGAAGAAGAAUCGGAAGAAGGAAACCUUUGCAAACUGACUAUUUCAAGAAUGUCGGCUUGUACAACUCAUCGAAGAACUGUGGUUAUCUCCCGAAUAUUCACCGAAAAAACCCUAAAACUAAAAGUAGUUUCUCUGCUUUUAUUUAUAUGUAUCGUCGUUAUCUUCAAGAAGAACACGAAUAGAAUUUUAAAAAGAAAGCAGCAACGGAUAUAUUUACAAUCGGACGGCCUUGUAUUAUCCACGUGUCCGACGCACACCAUUUAACUUCGUCCGCAAGGUUUUGUCUACCUAGCAGAUUUAAGUGGGUUUCAAAUGUAGGCCUAACAGAGUAUAAAACUUGGCCCAAUAAAACAAAAAAUUAAAGAAAGAGGAUUUAUGUUUUGUUAGUCUAAAGUUAUAUAUUGUGACGUAUCUAUACGUAUCAACCUCUCCAUAACCUUAGAUUUUUAUGCUUAUUUGUUAAUAUUUUUAUAAUUUUAUUUGUUUAUUUGAUUAUUUUGUUUAAUAUUUAUCUAUCUGUUUUAUAUAUAACAUAAAAUAUACAUUGAAUAAUGUUUAUCUUUUGCUUUAGCGUGCAUGACACCAAGAAUUGUUUAAGAUAAAUAUACAUUGAAUAAUGUUCUAGAUAAUAACACAAUGAAAACCAUAAUUCAUUACGUUGACAAUAUCUAAUAAUCGUAACCUGUUUGACCAAAAGCAUACUAUACCUAAUUUUAGCUAAUUUUGUUUAUUUGUCAUAUUCUUAUUAGUUUUUAGAUUAAAUCAUCAUUUUAUUAAUUUAAAUAAUAUAAAUAUUUUUAUUUUUAAUUAAUUUAUUAAUAUAAAUAAUAUAAAUAUUUCGAAAUUUCUAAUUGGAAUUAUGAUUAUAAUUAUUUUAAGUUUCACAAAAUUUUUAAUAGUUUUUAGCUUAAAUCAUUAAUUUAUUAAUUUAAAUAACAUUACUAUUUCAAACUUUCUAAUUGGAAUUACAAUUAUAAUUAUUUAAAAAAAGCUAGGACCAAUUCUUAUUUUCAUAUGAUAUGAUGUAAGAUGUUUUAAACUCUAUAGUUUCAAUUUUCUCAUUCAUUCAAAGUUGUCUCAAUUAUAGUUUUUGACAUCUAUAUUUAUGUACUUUUGAUAUUUUGUUUUUUAUAGUUGGAGUUCUAUGUUUUUUCUUGAAAUACUAGAAUAAAAUCGGUUUUGUUACAUGGAAUUUGGAAUUAUGAAUUAGGUAUUCUGAAUUAUUUCAAUAGUUAUUUCACGUGUAUGUUUUAUUACUGUUUAAUCUAUAAGAAAAAUAUGUUUUGAUAUUAAAUUUAGAGAAUUGUCUAUGUAAUUAUAUUAUGAACAUGUCUUUAAUGGUUUAGUUUCUAAAACGGCUAAAAGUAAAUAUAUUUUUAAUGAAUAAUUAGAUUUAUUAUUAUAUUAUUAACCAUAAAUUAACUUUAAUAAUAAAAAGUUAUUAUUAUCUAUUGUUUCUUUUAUUAAAGGUAAACUUAUGAAAUAUUAAGAUAAGUCGAUGUAUAUAUUGAUCAAGUAAACCAAUGAAAUAUUGUCAUUAUCUCAAUUCGUUUUUUUUAAUCUUCAAAAUUAUAAUCGAAAUUUAGUUUUUAUUUACUUAUUUUGUUCUUAUUUGGAUUUUGUGUGUUUUAAUACUUUUUUGGUAAGUUAAUUCAUAUUUAUGGUUCAAAAAUACAAAGUAGAUUAAGAGAGACCAAAAGUUCAUAUUCUUACUUUACUUUAUUGUGUGAAAUAUUUGAUAUGUAAUUAUGCUUUUUUCGCCUCACAGUUUUAUAGCUUUCUUUUAUGUUAAGAAGACGUAGAUCAAAAUAAAAAUCGAAGAGAAGUAAAAUGCUUGAAUCCAAUCGCAAUCGCUUCUCUCUUACCACCUGGUAUGUUGUCAGAUUUCGUCUUUGUUUUCUCUCGUGGCUGACUGAUGUGGGUUUGGUUUAUCUUAUUCUCGGCAGUCAGUUAAUACAGGUUGCAAUCUCUAAGGGGAUGGUGCACGUGUAGACGUUAAAAUGUUCAUGGUUAAGGUUUUCACUUUAAUGAAGGUAUACUUCAGUUCUCAGUCUUUCUUCUUUUAAAUCACUGCACGGCUCAUCUUUUUGAUUUGGGAAAGCUCUUUCAAUGCGAACCAGAAUUGGAUGCUUUCCUUGAGUUUGAUUCUCUGUUUGGGUUGAAAAACCUAUCGACCCCAGGAAGAGUAGCACAACAAUUGGGGAAAGGUAUUUUUUUUAUUUCAGUUUCAGUACCCUCUUUUACUUCUCUUCCUCCUCACUCAUGUUCCGUCUCCUUUUAUUAGAACAGGAUUUGAAGGCCGCGGCCUUACCGCUCCUCAAAAGAUUUGGUUCUGUCUUGCUUCCGUUGGUGGUCAGUACAUACAACGAACCCAAGGCAUCUAUAAAGCUGCUUCUUUCCUUAGCCUUUUGUCAUAUCUUUAUGCAUGGACUUGUUCAUCUUGUCUACGUAUCCUGAAAAAUCAUACAUUCCUGCCAGUAAACGUCUCAUAACCAUUGAACUCUGAUGAAAUGCUUCUAAGAUUAAGCUAUAUUGGUUUCUAAUUGCUAAGACCUUGACAGUGCAUGUGGCUUUUGAGUUCAGAGUGUAGUUGUGAAACGAGAACCCAUGUUGGGCUCAAUUGAUGAGGCUGUGAAGUUGCUUGUUAGUUGUUAGCAAUGCACGUGUUGAUCUAUGGGUUAAAUAGCGAAAUGUCUUACUGUUCUCUGAUGUCCCAAAUAACCUGUCACUGUUAAGAGCUAGGUUUGUCUAUAGGAGCCUGUCAGCUUCGACUACAUGAAUCGCCAUAUAUUCUUAAUUAGCAAAGCAUAUUGAUCCAUAGAGAUACAUUGUUUAUAACAAGAAGACCAUCAUCUUCCGACAAUGUUUUCUUUCACAAACAGAAAUAUAUUUGGAUUAUCUUGCAUGUUUUAGACCAAAAAAGCUUUGAAAAAUGCCAAAUCAGAAGCAUUAUUACGAGCAAUAGAUAUUCAGCAACGUACAACACAAGCAUUGCAAUAAAAUAGUAGGUUUUCUUGAAAAACAUAUAGUUGUAUCAGCCAUAGAUUGAGUGAAACCAUCAGCUAAGAUUACAGAGGUGAAAUUCUGGAUCCAUUGUCUAGAGGCUUACUGUAAAUCAUAUAUGAUCAAUUACGGAAACAAUAUUCAUCAUCUGAAAGUAGGGAAUCAGGGGGUAUUGGAAGUGAUGUGGUCUGGAAUAAACUAUAAUGUCAUCAUUUUGUUAGAAAGACAGAGCCAACAUGAAGGUCCAUUUUUAUAAACUAACAGACUUAGACUACCAUAUAAGCUUCAAACAUACAGAUGAAAAAUCUUAAUAAAUAAGUGAUGUGCUUUUACAUCGUUGAAAACAGAAAGAAAAAAAAACAAAGCAAUAGUGAAAGUGUGAUAUACAAAGACGCUUUCAUGGUGAAUCAGCAAAGCGAUAGUGAAAGAGUGAUAUACAAAUAUAGACUAUUUCAUGUUGAAUCAGAUACAAGAGUAAUUUGAGCCCAACGACUACUGGAUGUAGACUUUAACUUAAUAGAAAGAGGGUAACAAGAAACUAUUGCUAGAUGGAAAAAAGAUGUAAGUAAUGAUUAUCAUAUGGCAACGAUUGGAUAAGAGAGAUUAGCUCCGACUCAGAACAAACGAAAACCCUAAGCAAUGCUCAUCAUAUCGCAUUCCGGAGAGAGAGAGUGAGCGACAACCGAUGUUAGGCGGAGAGAGAGAAAUCACCGAUUUGAAGAAAUUUCCUGCGUUUUUUCCACAGGCGAACUACUAGAUUGGUGAAAGGUUAGUGAUGUCAAUGGUUGAUAUUUAGGAAAUAACAAGUAGGCGAUCAUGUCUUUAAGAUUCUCUAUUUUUUUACCGUUAAAAGAGUAUCUAUACUAUUAUUUGCGAAGUAAAUUUUCGCAACAAAGCUAUCACGUUAAAAGUUAGCACGGUUAAUAUCGUUUAUAACCUUAAUGAAUAAAUUAAAUAAAUUAGAUAAAAUAAAAAACGAAUUUAGUGUUUAUUUGAUUAGAUAAGUGCUUACAAUUAAUAAUAGUAAGAAUUAUCCAAAAUUUAAAAAUAAAUUUAAAAUAAAAAGAUAAUUCCUACAUAUAUUGUGUUGUUAUCUUACAAAAAACAGAAAAUACAUAAUUAAAUAUUAAGUAAGAUUAUUAAUUCUACGUAAUUGAAAGAGAAUAUCAAGUGAUCUCUAAGAUUUAUAUAUUAUUUAUUAAUAAUGAAUAUAGUGUACAAAAGUUUUUUAAAAAUUUGUAAUACAUACGAAUUUUCAAUGAAAACAUAAAUAAUAAUUUUAAACUAUUAUUUACGAAGUAAAUGUUCGCAACAAAACUCUCACGUUAAAAGUUAGCACGGUUAAUAUCUUUUUCGCAACGAAGUUCUCACGUUAAAAGUUAGCACGGUUAAUUUAGUUUAUACCCUUAAUGAAUAAAUUAAAUAUAUUAGAUAAAAUAAAAAACGAAUUUAGUGUUUAUUUGAUUAGAUAAGUGCUUACAAUUAAUAAAAAUAAAAAUUAUCCAUAAUUUAAAAAUAUAUUUAAAAGAAAAAGAAAAUUCCUAUAUAUAUAUUAUGUUGUUAUCUUAAAAAAAAACAGAAAAUACAUAAUUAAAUAUUAAGUAAAAUUAUUAAUCUAUACUAUUAUUUGCGAAGUAAAUUUUCGCAACGAAGCUCUCACGUUAAAAGUUAGCACGGUUAAUAUCUUUUUCGCAACAAAGCUCUCACGUUAAAAGUUAGCACGGUUAAUUUCGUUUAUAUCUUUAAUGAAUAAAUUAAAUAUAUUAGAUAAAAUAAAAAAAUGAAUUUAGUGUUUAUUUGAUUAGAUAAGUGCUUACAAUUAAUAAAAAUAAAAAUUAUCCAUAAUUUAAAAAUAUAUUAAAAGAAAAAGAUAAUUCCUAUAUAUAUUAUGUUGUUAUCUUUAAAAAAAAAACAGAAAAUACAUAAUUAAAUAUUAAGUAAAAUUAUUAAUUCUAUA
Brassica rapa (field mustard) is the source of this 6809-nucleotide long non-coding RNA. RefSeq lists it as uncharacterized. The record is from RefSeq and is a predicted model, not a curated record. NCBI's taxonomy places the organism in Eukaryota, Viridiplantae, Streptophyta, Magnoliopsida, Brassicales, Brassicaceae.